RNAcentral lists this ribosomal RNA (403 nucleotides) under uncultured bacterium. Its description in RNAcentral is "bacterial SSU rRNA". It matches the Rfam family "Bacterial small subunit ribosomal RNA", at positions 9 to 416 of the family's 1533-position model. The record is from RNAcentral.
GAGUUUGAUCCUGGCUCAGGACGAACGCUGGCGGCGUGCUUAACACAUGCAAGUCGAGCGACGCACUCUUUCGGGGGUGACGGAGCGGCGAACGGGUGAGUAACACGUGGGCAACCUGCCCUCAGCUCUGGGACAACUCCGGGAAACCGGGGCUAAUACCGGAUACGACAUCGGAUCGCAUGGUCUGGUGUGGAAAGUUUUUCGGCUGGGGAUGGGCCCGCGGCCUAUCAGCUUGUUGGUGGGGUGAAGGCCUACCAAGGCGACGACGGGUAGCCGGCCUGAGAGGGCGAUUGGCCACACUGGGACUGAGACACGGCCCAGACUCCUACGGGAGGCAGCAGUGGGGAAUAUUGCGCAAUGGGCGAAAGCCUGACGCAGCGACGCCGCGUGGGGGAUGAAGGCC